Molecule: small nucleolar RNA, 84 nt
Filed under: Nomascus leucogenys (northern white-cheeked gibbon)
Lineage: Eukaryota; Metazoa; Chordata; Mammalia; Primates; Hylobatidae
Description: Small nucleolar RNA U3
Rfam family: Small nucleolar RNA U3
About the family: Small nucleolar RNAs (snoRNAs) are involved in the processing and modification of rRNA in the nucleolus. There are two main classes of snoRNAs: the box C/D class, and the box H/ACA class.
Source: Rfam by way of RNAcentral
AAGAUGAUACUUUCAGGGAUCAUUUCUAUAGUUCGUUACUAGAAAAGUUUCUCUAAAUGUGUAGAGAAAAAAACUAUUCCUAGU